UCCAAACGUAUAGUGUGUGUCGCUUCGCUAUGGAAGUUCUGAACCGCACAGUGAAAAAAAUUAUGGGAUAACCCUUAUAUCCUAAAAAUAACUUGAAUACAAGAUCCACCGGCAACAAACUCACUAGAGCUGCUGGUAUGUUGAGAACAGACAUGACUGUAGAAUAUUUCACACAUCAGCAAACCAAGAACAGAGGCUGUCAUGCAGGCAGAAGGGGGUGCAAUGGAAUAUUAGGAAUGGAUAAAUAAACAUGGGUAAAUAGUAUGGCUGCAGUUUCUGGCCUUUUUGACUGUUCAAAAAUCCACCAUCACCUGGAUUACUGACUCAAAUAAUUUGGGAUUCACCACAGUUUGCAUCCUCACCUAGUACAGAAAUUCAAAGGAACUGACACCACCCCUAAGGCUACCAAGCUAAAGGCUGAAACUGAUCAAGUUCUGCAGUUCAACAUGGUUAACUGUACCUUUUUAACCCUUUCUCCUAAUUUAUGAGAAAAGGUUAUUUUAUUAUAUGCUAUUUUAGAAAACUUUAUUAUGAGCAGUGGUGGCAGGUGUUCAAGUGAGGACAUAGACGGUGGGAGCGGUCUGAUUAUUACAUGGUAUGGUGAAUGAAUUUAUUCUAUUCAACUCCCAAAUAUUCCUACUCCUCCUCCACAGUAUUUUACUGAAUCAAAAUAUUUUGAUAGGCAAAAUCAAAAUAUAAACCAAUUGAAUAAUUCCCACUGCCUAAAGUCACUGCUUCCAUUAACUUUGACCAGCUUGACUGCCUUUUAGAAACCCUGUGUACAGUAGGCACCCAGGAUGAAUUGUUAACUUUACACAAUUUGUUAGAAAGGGCUCACUGGACUUGGACUGAAAAAUGUGAAUGUUCAAAUGGGUCAUGCUUUAACAAACACCAUAGGUUCUGCCAAUGCUCAGCCUUUUGUUCCAGACCACGGCCUUCUUUAGUUCUGUCAUACCAGUUGUGGCUGGAGCUUUGGCCAUGCCAGUUUCUAUUUCUGCCGCCUCUGUUUGUUACCCCUUCAAGUCUCCUAUGCUAUCCCUUCUGUUUCAGUCAUGCCCGUUGUAGCUGCUUCCUGAGCCUUUGAUUCUGCUUGCCCUUCUGUCUCCUCAGCCUCUGUUUCAGUCGCAACAGUUACACAGAGCGCCUCUGUCAUGCCUGUUUCAGCUAUCCCUGCAACUACCUCUGCAUCAGUCUUGCCAGUUGAAGUAGGUCCCUCUGCUUCGGCCAGGCCAGCUGCUGCCAGCUCUUCAACUGCCUGCAGUGAUGACAAUCACAACAUUUUUCAUCAAAUCAACAGUCCAUUGUUAUACUGAAAUAAGACACCCAUUAAAUUUUGCUGAUGCCUAUGAACUGGAAUCUUAUGAGGAGGUAUUUAAUAGUAUUCAUGAGACACUGCAAGGAAUUCUGGGUAGUCUUUCUGGUACUUUAAAUCCGACUGAUGUUCAACAGCAACAU
Polypterus senegalus (gray bichir) is the source of this 1455-nucleotide long non-coding RNA. RefSeq lists it as uncharacterized. Lineage: Eukaryota; Metazoa; Chordata; Cladistia; Polypteriformes; Polypteridae. The transcript is spliced from 4 exons. The record is from RefSeq and is a predicted model, not a curated record.